MicroRNA precursor from Oryza sativa Japonica Group (Japanese rice), 204 nucleotides. It matches the Rfam family "MIR812 microRNA precursor family". The record is from Rfam. Lineage: Eukaryota; Viridiplantae; Streptophyta; Magnoliopsida; Poales; Poaceae.
AAUAAGUGCAGUCUUGAGUUUCCGCGCUCAACUUUAAUAAUCCGUCUUAUUUGAAUUUUUUUUAUAAUUAGCAUUUUUGUUACUAUGAGAUAAUAAAAUAUGAAUAGUACUGUACUCAUGACUUAUAUUUUUAAUUUUUUUAAAAAAUUUUCAAAUAAGAUGAACGAUUAAAAUUGGACGCGGAAAAUCAUGGCUGCACUUAUU